UCUCUCUCUCUCUCUCUCUCUCUCUCUCGUCGUCGCCACGGGGGAGCUGGGCAUAGGGGGGACAAGGAGAGAGCUUAAUGGUGUCAUGCUCAACGUAAUGCCCGAGGAGAGAGCAAAUAGUAGGGCUCUGUUGGGGGGAGGCCGAUCGGCUUCUGCGGCAUUAAGAUGCUCGUAGAAACGGGCAUCUACUUACGCCGCCCUCUCUUGGCCGUGAUAAACGAGGAGCAUUCAAUGUGGUCUUAAAAAACU
RNAcentral lists this long non-coding RNA (249 nucleotides) under Spirodela polyrhiza (greater duckweed). Its description in RNAcentral is "long non-coding RNA (SPOL_LNC002605)". The record is from RNAcentral. Lineage: Eukaryota; Viridiplantae; Streptophyta; Magnoliopsida; Alismatales; Araceae.